This 445-nucleotide long non-coding RNA is filed under the name Homo sapiens (human). RNAcentral describes it as "non-protein coding lnc-TYW1-4:1". Lineage: Eukaryota; Metazoa; Chordata; Mammalia; Primates; Hominidae. The record is from RNAcentral.
AGAAUGGCGUGAACUUGGGAGGCGGAGCUUGCAGCUAGCUGAGAUUGCACCACUGCACUCCAGCCUGGGCGACAGAGCGAGACUCUGAAAAAAAAAAAAAAAAAGAAAAAAAAAAUCGCAGCAGGCAAACGUUCUGCAAUUCUCUGGGCUUCUUCUACUUGCAAACACUUAUCAAACACACUGAAGCCUCCGUUAAUGUCUUUGCCUCCCCGCUUAUUGAGGAAGCUAAUUAACUAGGUAGCUAAUUAAUUGUCUCUUACUGAGAACUACUAGAAAUUUAUACUCUGAUUAUUGGCUUAGGAGAAGUUGGAUGAAAUAAAUAACUUGGACUGUUGAAAAGUCAAAAUAGUUUUUUCAAUCAACUGGGGCCUCCACUCCCCUGCAAGAUUUGUGUGCAUGCUGAUGGGAGAGAGAGGGUCCCUCUACGCACCUGCAGGGAGGAGCC